AUUGAACGCUGGCGGCAGGCCUAACACAUGCAAGUCGAGCGGAUGAAGGGAGCUUGCUCCUGGAUUCAGCGGCGGACGGGUGAGUAAUGCCUAGGAAUCUGCCUGGUAGUGGGGGAUAACGUCCGGAAACGGGCGCUAAUACCGCGUACGUCCUGAGGGAGAAAGUGGGGGAUCUUCGGACCUCACGCUAUCAGAUGAGCCUAGGUCGGAUUAGCUAGUUGGUGGGGUAAAGGCCUACCAAGGCGACGAUCCGUAACUGGUCUGAGAGGAUGAUCAGUCACACUGGAACUGAGACACGGUCCAGACUCCUACGGGAGGCAGCAGUGGGGAAUAUUGGACAAUGGGCGAAAGCCUGAUCCAGCCAUGCCGCGUGUGUGAAGAAGGUCUUCGGAUUGUAAAGCACUUUAAGUUGGGAGGAAGGGCAGUAAGUUAAUACCUUGCUGUUUUGACGUUACCAACAGAAUAAGCACCGGCUAACUUUGUG
RNAcentral lists this ribosomal RNA (484 nucleotides) under uncultured bacterium. RNAcentral's name for it is "partial 16S ribosomal RNA". It matches the Rfam family "Bacterial small subunit ribosomal RNA", at positions 30 to 507 of the family's 1533-position model. The record is from RNAcentral.